Molecule: ribosomal RNA, 465 nt
Filed under: uncultured bacterium
Lineage: Bacteria
Description: bacterial SSU rRNA
Rfam family: Bacterial small subunit ribosomal RNA
Source: RNAcentral
CCUACGGGGGGCAGCAGUGGGGAAUAUUGCACAACGGGCGCAAGCCUGAUGCAGCCAUGCCGCGUGUGUGAAGAAGGCCUUCGGGUUGUAAAGCACUUUCAGUGAGGAGGAAGGUGGUGAGCUUAAUACGCUCAUCAAUUGACGUUACUCGCAGAAGAAGCACCGGCUAACUCCGUGCCAGCAGCCGCGGUAAUACGGAGGGUGCAAGCGUUAAUCGGAAUUACUGGGCGUAAAGCGCACGCAGGCGGUCUGUCAAGUCGGAUGUGAAAUCCCCGGGCUCAACCUGGGAACUGCAUUCGAAACUGGCAGGCUAGAGUCUUGUAGAGGGGGGUAGAAUUCCAGGCGUAGCGGUGAAAUGCGUAGAGAUCUGGAGGAAUACCGGUGGCGAAGGCGGCCCCCUGGACAAAGACUGACGCUCAGGUGCGAAAGCGUGGGGAGCAAACAGGAUUAGAUACCCCUGUAGUC